RNAcentral lists this non-coding RNA (32 nucleotides) under Geobacter sulfurreducens KN400. Lineage: Bacteria; Pseudomonadati; Thermodesulfobacteriota; Desulfuromonadia; Geobacterales; Geobacteraceae. The record is from RNAcentral.
UUGCAGUCGGACGCGGGCACGCCGAUCAGGCA